CCUUCGGGUACAAUUGAGACAGGUGGUGCAUGGUUGUCGUCAGCUCGUGUCGUGAGAUGUUGGGUUAAGUCCCGCAACGAGCGCAACCCUUGUGUUUAGUUGCAAACAGGUCAAGCUGUGCACUCUAGACAGACUGCCGUGGACAACACGGAGGAAGGUGGGGAUGACGUCAAAUCAUCAUGCCCCUUAUGAUCUGGGCUACACACGUGCUACAAUGGCCGGUACAACGGGCAGCGAAGGAGCGAUCCGGAGCGAAUCCUAAAAAGCCGGUCCCAGUUCGGAUUGCAGGCUGAAACUCGCCUACAUGAAGUUGGAGUUGCUAGUAAUCGCGAAUCAGAAUGUCGCGGUGAAUACGUUCCCGGGCCUU
RNAcentral lists this ribosomal RNA (367 nucleotides) under uncultured Fusibacter sp. RNAcentral describes it as "bacterial SSU rRNA". It matches the Rfam family "Bacterial small subunit ribosomal RNA", at positions 1017 to 1382 of the family's 1533-position model. The record is from RNAcentral. Lineage: Bacteria; Bacillati; Bacillota; Clostridia; Eubacteriales; Fusibacteraceae.